UGGAGCAGGCAAGUUGGACCUGCAGAUGGGUCAGUUUACCCAGAGUCUGACCAGACACUGCAUUGGGCACUUAGAUCACAUAAUAUACUUUUACUUUGGGUUAUUUUAAUUUAUUUUUAUAGAUUUCUACAUCACAUAUGCCAUUUUUAUUUAAUAUAAACAUAUGCUAAUUUAUAAUGUAAAUAUUAUGUGUUAGAUAUUUAUAAACACAACAUAUUUGACAUUUAAGUUGUUCAUCUAGCUUUCUUAUUCCUAAGUCUAAUUCCUACUUGUCUCAUCCUGUAGAUAUCCUAAGAGCACAAUUAUAAGAUCAAGGCUUGUGACAAGCGCAGCUGGAGAAGAAAUCCCAGUUCUCUCUUUUUAUUUAAAAUUACUCAUGGUUAGGGUAAUCAGGUUGUAAAUGAUCCAGGUUCAGUUUCUCUUCUGCCACAAGAGAGUUCAAACGUAUCUCCCUUUUCCCAGGUUAAUAUUCCAAGCAAAUUACUUUUGUGGGCCUUAUUCCAUUCCUUUACAUGAGAGAAUAUUUAAAGGCCUUUGCCCAUUUAAUCCUCAUCUUCCUUGAGAACUCUCCAAAAGCUUCAUGAUGAGCAGGAGUCAUGGUGUGCUUUGUGAUCUGCUUAAAUCCCUCCUUUUACUCUACCUCCAUGACUACAAAGCCUACUGAUUCAAAGAAAUUGUAGUGAGUGCUCUGUCUCUUGGUCCAAAGAACAUCGGGAUGCAUAUGAUGCUGUAUGCUAUGAUGCUCCUUCCUUUCUGAGCCUACAAAGGUGGUGUGGAAAAGCAGUUUGUAGGCUGCAUUAUUCAUUCAGUAUAGUGGCUCUUUUAGAACAGCUAUAACCAUGGGUUAUAUCCCAGAAGUAGCUGUGGUCCAUGAGAUCUGAUUUUGGCCUGGGUGAGACCUCAAGGUUAACAAGAACUUCAGUGGGAAUUUGGUUGAGUUUUUCCCUUCUUGGACUCCCCUACUGCAGGUUUCACAGCCAUAGGUCACAACAGAGUUGGGUGUGUUUUUAGUACCGGAAGAACAAGUAUCACAGGUUUUAUCAGGGGAAAUGCCAAGAUUACACAAGACACCAGAGAAUUACUAUCCCACUGAUUAAUAAAUCAUCAGAAGUUAAAGAAGAACAGCCUAUGUUAUUUCACUCACAACUUCUUCUGAUGAGAUAACACAAAUGAAAGAAUAUAGGGUCAUCACAAACUGCUGCAAAGAUAAGCAUCAGUCACUGAAAAACAUUAUCCAUUUUUUGUUAUCAGGAACUCUUCAGAAUAACUUUUAUUACUAUUGUGGUUGUUGUCAACUUUUGCUGCUUUAUGUCUGGACCACAGGGAAUGCUGCCUUCUUACAGGGAUUCACAACUCUUACAGUUGAGUUGUUCAUUUCAAAAACAAACUUUUAAAAGGCCUUUAUAUCCUACCUGUCAUUGGCUAGUGCACUCUCCCAGUAUAUUCUCUCCUUUGCUUGGAGGCACUGAAACCCACUUUUCUCACAGUAAUGUCUUAUACGCCAAGCUGCAGGGAGGCUGUUCCACUUUGGAACAGAUAUAUAUUACCUGCAGUGGAGAGUGUGAGCACACAGUUAAGGAUUACUCUCCUGCACAGUGUUUAGGGCACAAACAUCUACUUUACUGCAAACAUUAUUUGCAACAGAAACUGGAACCCAAAUUUCUCUUCUUGCAGAUGAGUUCUGCUGUAUAGAAAUAUAUGAAAUAUACAAAGUGUCUUGUAAAUGACUGCUCUCUUUUUCUCUCCUGAGAGAGUCAGCUCUAGCAACUUCAUGAUAAAUUCAUUUUUUAGGAAAAUACCCUGCUAAUAAGUAGCCCUUAGUGUGGUAGCUUCGUUAUUUUUCUAGGAACUGAAUGGUAUGGGAGAGAACAUCAUGAGGUAAAGACAAAAAUCUAUUUAAAGUCUCUUGUGUUCCAGAUGACAAUAUGGUGAUAGAGAUGACAUUAUCGUGGUCACUGUUGUAACCAUUUGCCUUCCUUCCCCCAGCAGAUAUAUCAAGUGUGCCUGAGAAGUUCUUGCAGAUAGAACAGAUGAUACAAGAAAUGUGCUUGAACUCUGAUAUCUGACUCGACAAAGGAAUGACUGAAUUUAAAAAGAGAUUUAUCAGGUAAAGACUACCAGUAAAUCUAAACAGAAAAUGCUGAAAAGAUUAUGCAGCCAUUGCUCCAUAUUAAGGCAAAAUUCAGCCCAGCUCACCACUUUGCCUAGGCAACAGGGCAGAGCCUUUAGAGAAGGAAGUGUGCCAAAGGAGAUGUGGCAAUGCCUUGCAAACAUAAAACAGGCUGCUCUGGGAGGAAGAGGAGGCACGUGGCAUCGGCUAGCACAGACUGAGUGGUAAUGGCCUUAGGAGCAGCUGAAUUUAUGACUGUUUUCAGCAGUUACUCUAUGUAAGGUUUCUGUGGUGUCUCUGGUGAAUUUUAAACCAGCACAAAAGAAAGUGUGGGAAGAUUGCUGCCUGCGUGGCCCACGCCUGCCGUGUUUGGAGCAGGCCUAUGCCAAUUAGCCUGUUCAGCCCUCAGGGUGUAAUAAUGUAAUUGUUGUUACCAUUAGUACCAAUUAUAGGAAUUAGAAAGAAACAAACCUUUAUACAGGAGAAAGUAGAAUAUGUUUGCGGAUAAACCAAAGGGGAGUGCUUUCUUUUACUAGCUCUAUGACCCCCAAAUCAAUUAAGCUGGUUACGUGUUCAGCAGUCAGCAUGGUCAGUAAUUAGUAGUUUCUCCACAGUUUCAAGCUUAAAUACCACUCCUGGUGAUCACUGUCUUCUGAGAGACUUCAGAUCUGGGUACUGACCUAUCCUAGAGCAUCUGGGAGUAGCCUUAUAUCAGUCAGUGAAGGAAGCUAGGGGGAGUUGAAUGCUGUCCAGAGGCUGUCUAUGAAGUAGCCACAGGAGAAUCUGUGUUUUUGUUUUUCUCCUGAACAGUCUCUUCUUGGAUCUUAGACAAGGCUUAAACGAGAUUUUUGAAAAAAAGCUGCAAGAAAAAUUUUGUGUAAUAGUAUGUAUGCAAUUAUUCUCUUCCAUAAGCAGAAACAUGCAGAGUGACACCAUUUGGUUAUUACCAACUAAUCUGUGGUCAAAUUUCUGAAGUAUUUUAUCAUUGCUCUUUGCACUUCUAUAGCAGAACGUAUUAACACAUUCAGUCUCCACCUUCAUGGACAAAGAUUUACCCAAGUCCACAUCCUGGUAGUGAGUUUUGCACCACUGUAAAACAAAUCACGUUUGUGAAAUUCAGAUUAUGGGAAACGUUCUGGAACAUUGCUAUAAGAGCUGCAGAGCCAAUGUGGGCUACAACUGGUCUAGACAAGAUCUGUGAACAAGUUGAAGCAGUUAAGUGCUUUUGAGACAUGAGUUUUUCUGUGGAUUUCAGUUGGGAAUUAUACGCCAAAUUAGGAGCCAACUGUUCUGGUACACUGAGCAGCGUUGAGCUUUUAGGUCUUAAUUUCAUUCCUUGAAUUUUGUAAAUGGGCAUUUUUUGACUCGCAUAGAAGGUAUUUAUUAGAACAAUUCCCCCUAGCCAGUACUACAGGGAUUGCUCUACCAGAUGCCUGAUACUGUCUAGUCUUCUGUUUCCAACAAGGACUGUAGAGCACCCCAUAGGGAGGGUUGCUUAGAAAGGGAUUUUCUCAGAAAUCUCUUUAUUUCUGGAAUUUUAUGCUCUGGAGUAUGAGAAAAAUUAUCUGUAAUGGCUUUUUAUUCUAUCAGUGUGAUCUAACUGCAAUCAUGACUGUUUCCAGUCAAGGUUUAAGCUUUCCUAGAUUUCAAAAUACUUUGAUCUCAGGUAUGAAAUAGUGUACCUUAGAUUGACAGAUAAAUUAUAUAUGUAUAUAUUUAAUUGGAUUAUUUGUUUUAAAUCUGGAGCUGUUUAAGAUUCAUCCCCUACUCUGAGUACUGGAAAUGAGAGGAGGUGGCAGAGUCCAGUUUGCCUACUCUGUGUCACCAGGCCUCUCUCUCAUGACCACUCCACACGCUUCCAGUCUGGGGAAAAAAUCUCAGCCCCAGUGCCAAAUCUGAGGAAUAUUCCCAUCAAAAUAAAAGAAAACAACUCAACUCUGUGUAAAGUUGUCCUCUAAUACACCGCAUUUUCCAACAGCAGAGGAAGCGGGAUCAGGGCAAAGUGAUGCUGGUGUGCAUGGUGUUGUCCCUUCCUAUCCAUUGGGACCUAACGUGUGCUGCAAGAGCACUGCAGGGGCCACCAUGUAAAAUAUGCAUAGGUUGCCCUAAAGUAUGCCAAGCAUCAGGCUGGCACCCUCAUGAGAUGCUACAGAAAUAGCUAUGGGUCGUCUCUGUCCCAUCCGGUAGCUGUGGUGGGUACAGCUCUGUGGCACUGGUGUGGCACUCGGAGAGACAGCUGGGCCGCAGACCUCCACAGGAUGACAGUGGUGGGAAGGUGGCCUGGGGAGAGCUGCCACACGCGGCCGAUUCAAGCCUCUCGCUAUGGGGUCAGAACAACUGGUGCCUGGCAGGAAACGGGUGGAAAGAUUGCAAAAGACACAGGUAUCGGCCGGUGAUCUGUGCUGGAAGGUGGCGAGCGAGUAACCUUGCUCCAUUUUGUGGUAGUGCUUCACCUGCAAGUGCCUGCUGUGAGUGAAAUUGUCUGAGCUGGUGCCGCACUUUAUCAAUUUCACUCUCAGCAGGCUCCGCAGGUGAAGUAUUUCAUUGCAGGAGUCAGACUCCGCUCUCCCCUUCGCAGUCUGAAAUAGAAAGAGGGGACAGGAAAGAAGGUAAUAAAUGGCCAGAGAAGAGCAAAAGCAGGGCAGAGAGCAGCAAGAAGCAGCGUGCGUGUUAAAUGGUACUGGUAAUUCAGUGCACCUAACCCUCUAAUUCUGGUGGAAUCCAACACUUAAAAGGGCUUUACUUAACUUUUUUAAACCUUACGCUUGGAAAUAAAAGAAGUAAGAGAACUUCACGGCUGGAAGUGAAAAAUUAUGGUGAGUUUUUAUAUUCCCAUGUUUAAAAUGCCGUGUAAGAUGAUGUGGGUAGAACUAUAAGAUAAUAUUCUCAGUCUUCACCCUAACAGUGGCAAAUAGGGGCUUUUUUUUCUGAGAGAAAUAUAGGCCAGGCUUUUUUUGUUGUUUUUUUUUUCUUUCCUGAGUUCUGCAUUUCAGAAAUGAUGUGCUGUGAUUUCGUUGUUGCCCUUUCUUAAGAAAACCUGCAUCUGAUUUUCAGCGUUGCUGGUGCCGCUUCCCUUAACUUCAGAGAGAAGUUCAGCAUUCAAGAUGAGAACCAAGCAAAACUGGUAACCACAUGGGAUUGUUUCACUACUAGGAUAAAGCUCAUGUGAUUCAGGGGUCAAUGGGAUGUCAACACAGCGUUAGAGCUCACAGGUCCAUCUGCUUCCAGGCAGUUACAUCCUAUGUUUUACAGGAAUAGAAGACAGCACAGAGCUAACGUGUUUAAGCUGGCUCUCAGUUCCUACAGGAGCUUCCUUCUUGAAAGUCCUUGCAAAGCUGUUAGCCCAUCACUUCAGCUGCAGUGAGCCAAUUCCCUGGGCUAGGUCCCAGCAUGCAGCAGUCUUACACUCUGUGGCUUGGGGAAUUGAUGCACCCUUUUGCUGUAGGAUACAUCUGACAGCAUUAGACUCUGUCCCAGUUACACGUUUGGGAAGGGACUGCACCAUUCUCUGAAGUUCCAGGGAGAAAGAGUGGCUUUUUGUCACAGCGAGUGCCCAGUGACAGGAGGCUGUACCUGCUGGCUUUAAGCUUGCUGCUGUCUAAUGUGGGAAAACUGGUUGAAGGGCUGUUGCUGGAGGAAGGCAGUCAGAGUGGAAGAGCUCAGCUCUUGUGCUUCAGGAGAGAAGGGAAUGAAUGCAAUGCAAUAAUGAACUUAAAACAGAAGACUUCAACCCACUCCAAGAAUUGCUAAAUGCAGUCUUGUGGAAAGGAAUUUUAAUGGGAAAAGGUGCCCUGGAGAACUGCUGGUUCCUAAAAGAGACACUGAAUAUCGGAUGAAAAGCUGCCAUGAUACAGGAGGCUCACAGCAAGUGUGGGGAGAGACAGCUAUGGCUGCAAAGGAAGAUCUUUAAUGACCCGACGAUGAAAAUGACGGUGCAAAAGGUGGCUUCAUUUCUGCAUGCAGGCAAUACAAGUAAAGCUUUUAGCAGUGUCCCAAGUGAAUCUCAUGGGCGUGCCAGGGAAAUGUGGUCUUCAUUAAACUACUGUAAAGUGGGAAAGAGAAGGCAAGGGAUUGGGUAAGUGUGUGGGAGCAGAAGAGGAAGAAUGAGAGGGAAGGCAGCACAAAUCAGAGUACCUUUUUUUUUUACUAUGGAAAUAGUUAUAUGGCCCAAGUUAAAAUGAACAAACAAACAGAGAAAAAAACCAAUAUAAUACUACACAUCUGGUGUUGUAGUGUCAUGCACACACCUUUGUCUUCACAGCAAUGCUAUGCGAUUGUAUAGUGGAACCUGAUUUGCAAGGCUGCUUAAUACAGACCUGACCUUAGCUAAUGAAAAGAUUAAGAUCCUUUGCAUUAAGCUUUUUGUUGAGCCCUCAUCUUCAGAUGAGGGAGAAACCCCAGAAAAACUAUUGCAACUGCUCCAAUGAUGACGUACACAUUUACAUUCUAAAGGGUGGGAUCUCUGAGUGCCAACAUUUGAAUGAUUAAAUAAAUCACGAGGUGCAUUUAAUGGGUGACCUGUAGGGGCUUCACAGCAAGUAGUUUUGUCUGCUCCCACCCUCAAACGGUUUUAAUAAUGUCUUUGACUCCAUUUGCAACCAGACCUCUUUCGUAGGUGCAGCCUUUGUCCUUUGCAAAGCAGUUUGUGAGGAGUGCUUCGAUGUCAGAAGGAGAGUGCCAGGAGCAGGUGGUCCUCCUAUUUGCUUUUCUAUGAGAUCUCCUUAGUACAGGGCUCAGCCUUAACUUCGCAUGCUUAUAAGAUUUUUGUCAUUAAACCCCAACUAGAAAUGAAACGGAGGCUACUCUAAAAGUGAAUCAAAAUAUCAGUCCAUGAGACUAGAAUGUGAAAAAGUGGCGUGCAACAUCACCGAGGAGAGUUAUCUUUGUUGUGUGUAACAGGUUGGUUAGAGGAAUUCUAGAAUCUGCAAAUGACACCCCAACUGCUGUAUUCCGUACCCCAGCAAAGCUGGUAAGGUUACAUGGAUUACAGAUAAACACCAAAUUGCUGCUUUGGUUUUUAUGAUCGGUGGGACAAAGAUGUGAAGAAAAGUCAGUAUAUGUAAUAUAUGAGAGACACAAAUGUUUGCAGUUUUCUUUUGGUGAACAGAUGCAGGUGCUCUGAAUGACCUUUUCUCUGGUAGCGGCAGUACAUUUCCUGGGAGGGUCACCUGGCAUACCCCACAUGAUCACCAUAUAAGAGCAGAAAAUAGAGGCUGUUGUGAAAAGAAUCUCACCUGAUGUGUCCGUUUGCUAACAAGGCAAAUCUCAUGAUACUUGCAAGAAAAAAAUCAUCAGUAAACAAUCCUAUGAGGUGGGUAGGUCUGUAAAGAUUGCUUUGGGCUGCUCAGGAAGAGACAUUUGUUUGCCACUUUUGGAUUGGAACAAGAAGGGAAUACAGGGCAGUGCCACCAUGACGAUGGAAGGUAGAACAAUCCCAAAGUUUCCAGGGGCUUUGCAAGACAAAAUAAGAGCAAUCUGUGGUAGCUUGGCCUGCUAAGAAUGGAGAAUCCAGAAGCAAUUACAACUGGGAACUGCCCUUUGAGCCCAGUGGUCUGGGCAAUUUUCAAACCACUUGACAGCAACGGACAUUCAGAUCAUCCAGCAGACAUGCAGUCCAGACUUCUUCACUUCCAAAUGUACGACCAUGGCAGACAAUGUCAUACAGCUGUCUGCUGCUCAUUCAGAGCUGCUUCUCAUUUUUGGGUUGCCUUCUGAUGCAUGAGACGAGAUGCAGAGACUGAUGCUGCUGCUGUCAUAAGAGUAUGUGGUUCACAGGCUUGAUCUUUUAAUAAUGUUUCACUUUUUUUUUUUUCACAGGAUAUUGCUGACAUUAUGACACAGCUCCAGGAACUACCAAGUCUUCUAAUGGCUCCAGUAGUUUCUGAGCCUGUAUCUCAUCAUACUAUACCUACCUUGAUCUGCUGGCAACAUGGAAAAGCUCUAUUCUGUUCUUUCUGUCUCGAUUCCCCAUACCCACCUUUGAUUUUUAGCAGCCUCAUAUAUGCAUCUUCCUUCAUUCCUCCUCUAUCCACAUAUUCUUCCCUGAAUGGUGCUCUCAUCACGCACCACUGCUGGGAAGCCAACUCUGGCCCUCUCUCUGUCACUGAUACGAAGCAUUGGACUGGAGUUUCCAGGGAAGAGCAGCUCCCAUGGGUGCAAAAAUGCCUACAGGAAGGCAUGGCCAUGGCCCACUGCCCUCUCUCCUGCUCUUUGCUCCCGCAUCGAGCCAAAUAACAAAGCAUUUGUUCUUGUCAAGCAGAUGGGGAGGAAUUGGCAAGGAGCCCGGAAUCCUUAUAAGUUAAUCUCUGUCUAUUCAGCUGUAAGUAAAGAGAAUUUUAUCUCAAAAGAACAUCACUCCUUUGGCUUUGCCACCACAUAUUUGCUCACUGUAUCUUUUUCUCUCAUACCAUUCACUCGGGGGAACAAAUAGAGAGUUAUAUUUCCAACUAUGGAGGAAAAUUAUCUGAGGGCAGAGGAGGAUGAAUGUGAGGCCAUUCACUAAAAGGCAGAUUACCUCUGAUGCAGCCCCAGCAUCGAUGUCCAUCAUCUCCCAGCCACCGUGUAGCUGUCCUGGUCCUGCAGCCACUGGCAAGCUGCUGCCUCACCAUGCUGCGGGGUGCCCCAUGGGUGCUGAGUGGAAACCUGGCUUCCUCUUGAUGCAGGCAGAGGACAACCAGGUGCCCUGCAUCCCUACAGCAGGCUUUGUGCCUGAGACUGCUUUGCAAGUGAGACUGAUUAUGGCAGAGCUUGUGCUAAGCGUGUUGCGAGGGACGGAUGAGCAACUGCGGAGGGCAGAGAACAAAAGUGGGGAGCUGUGGUCUUUGUUUUUCCCCUUCCUUAAAUUCUCUCUUCCCAGGGCUGAGCUCUGACCCAGGCUGGUACCGAGGUUUUAUUGGUGUGAGACUGGAGUCAGGCUCAGGCUGCUGCUUCAGGUAACACUCCACAAUUAGCUCAGAAAAGAGAUCUCUGGGGGACAGAGGGUUUCUCGCCAGGAGAAAGAGCUCUCUAUUAGUGUCAGCUCCAAAGCAAAUCUUAUCUGAGUUGAGAACAAAGAGGCUACAGGCUGGGUUACAAUUUUUAAUAUUCUAGAUAACUGACUUUUUACAUUUUAUUUUAUUCUUGGAAAGCAUCAGAGCGAAUGUGUGUGAAUCGUGACGAUCUAGCCUCAGUUUUGAAAGAAAAGAGGCAACAAGCUCGACCCAACAACUAUCCUGAGACCCCUGUGGAAAGUAAUAAUCUUGAACAAGCCAGUGCAAGCUAUGUUUUCAAUUUAUAAAUUAAAUGUAUUUAAAAUUUAUGAACUUUGACUGCACGAGUAACUACUUCAUUAGACUUUAAGGCUGCAUGUUUCCUUGGCUUUUUGCGUGGUAAAGUGAAACACAUUUCUAAUAAACAUGGAAGGAGAUUUCAAGAUAGAGUCACUACUUUUAUGUAAAGCACCCUCCAGACUCAUUAAAAAAGUUUACCACCUAAAUAAAGCAAGCACGCUGUAAUUCUUGAACCCAUAAAAUUGUUAAUAUAUACAUAAUAUUAGUCUACUCUUGCAUGUACGCUGCUUGAUAUCAAUGAACGACAUACAGUAAGGGUUUUACUGUAAGGAAAUUAGCAUAUAAAACUGUGUUUUGCUAAGUCUUACAUUGUAACGUGAACUCGAGAAACAAGAGAAUAUAAGUUGGGUGCUGCUCUGGUUUACUGAGUAGGUAUGGCUAAUGGCAUGAACGUCCUUAGGAGAGAGUGCUGCGGUGCUUUGACACCCAAGCUUCAGCUGUAACUGACACCGCCCUGUUUCUCCUAGUUUAUAUCAACCAGUUAGAACCCCUCUGAUGGCCAGCGGCGGUGGCGUGGUGGUGGGCACCAUGCAUUGGCCUACUAAGCAUGGCUGUGGCUCAAGGAGCUGGCACCAUGCACUUCCCCUCCCCUGGCACUGGUAUGUCCUCAGCUGCAGCACAGCACCCUGCUUUGGGAUCUUCACUUCAAGGGGGAUGUGGAAAACCUGGAAGGUUUCCACACUUGAGGUCUGUCACCACAGUCCAUGUCCCGGAGCACAGCUCCUGGAAGGAUCCAGCCCUGUUCUGUGUGGUGAAGAGGAGCCCAAAGGGUGGUCCGGCAGCAGUCUGGGGCUGCCUGAGGGGCAGAUCCAAAGAGAGCAGGGCCACACUCUUCUUGGUGGUGCCGGAGGAUGUAACAAGGGGCCACACAUGGCAGAUGGGGAGGUUCAGGCUGCACAUUAGGAAAUCCUUCUCCGCUGGGAGGGUUGUACGGCACAAGGACAGGUCCCACAGAGAGGUGGUGAAGGGUCCUUUCUUGGGGGCUUCACAGCUUGGCUAGAUAAAGCCCCAGCUGACCUACUGUUGUAAUAUAGGUGGUACUCCUACUUCAAGUGUCCUUUGGACCAGGUGAUCUCCAGCAGUCCCAUCCCAGCAGCAUUUCUGUGACUAUGUAGUCCUUUUCUACAGAGCAAGGGAGAAGCAGGUCCUAAACCACAUCAGUCUCUCUCAUCAGAGAGAGAGAAAGCAGCUCAGCCAAACCCCUGCCCCUCAGGGCUAGUCCUAGCCCAGCACCUACUCAGUUGUCUGUUAGAUUAUGUUGGGGUUCAGAAACAAGUCGC
RNAcentral lists this long non-coding RNA (10718 nucleotides) under Gallus gallus (chicken). Its description in RNAcentral is "lncRNA (ENSGALG00010006240.1)". The record is from RNAcentral. Lineage: Eukaryota; Metazoa; Chordata; Aves; Galliformes; Phasianidae.